RNAcentral lists this small RNA (917 nucleotides) under Pongo abelii (Sumatran orangutan). RNAcentral describes it as "retained intron". The record is from RNAcentral. Lineage: Eukaryota; Metazoa; Chordata; Mammalia; Primates; Hominidae.
GCCGGCCUGCCCUGAGCCCCCUGCCCGGGUCUCCUCUCCUUAAGUGUCCCUGCAAGGCGAGUUCCAGAGGAAGCUUUACAAGGAGCUGGUCAAGAACUACAACCCCUUGGAGAGGCCCGUGGCCAAUGACUCGCAACCGCUCACCGUCUACUUCUCCCUGAGCCUCCUGCAGAUCAUGGACGUGGAUGAGAAGAACCAAGUUUUAACCACCAACAUUUGGCUGCAAAUGUCUUGGACAGAUCACUAUUUACAGUGGAAUGUGUCAGAAUAUCCAGGGGUGAAGACUGUUCGUUUCCCAGAUGGCCAGAUUUGGAAACCAGACAUUCUUCUCUAUAACAGUGCUGAUGAGCGCUUUGACGCCACAUUCCACACUAACGUGUUGGUGAAUUCUUCCGGGCAUUGCCAGUACCUGCCUCCAGGCAUAUUCAAGAGUUCCUGCUACAUCGAUGUACGCUGGUUUCCCUUUGAUGUGCAGCAUUGCAAACUGAAGUUUGGGUCCUGGUCUUACGGAGGCUGGUCCUUGGAUCUGCAGAUGCAGGAGGCAGAUAUCAGUGGCUAUAUCCCCAAUGGAGAAUGGGACCUAGUGGGAAUCCCUGGCAAGAGGAGUGAAAAGUUCUAUGAGUGCUGCAAAGAGCCCUACCCCGAUGUCACCUUCACAGUGACCAUGCGCCGCAGGACGCUCUACUAUGGCCUCAACCUGCUGAUCCCCUGUGUGCUCAUCUCUGCCCUCGCCCUGCUGGUGUUCCUGCUUCCUGCAGAUUCCGGGGAGAAGAUUUCCCUGGGGAUAACAGUCUUACUCUCUCUCACUGUCUUCAUGCUGCUGGUAGCCGAGAUCAUGCCCGCAACAUCCGAUUCGGUACCACUGAUAGCCCAGUACUUCGCCAGCACCAUGAUCAUCGUGGGCCUCUCAGUGGUGG